RNAcentral lists this ribosomal RNA (2894 nucleotides) under Stenotrophomonas sp. WZN-1. RNAcentral's name for it is "bacterial LSU rRNA". It matches the Rfam family "Bacterial large subunit ribosomal RNA". The record is from RNAcentral. Lineage: Bacteria; Pseudomonadati; Pseudomonadota; Gammaproteobacteria; Lysobacterales; Lysobacteraceae.
GUUAUAUGGUCAAGCGAAUAAGCGCACACGGUGGAUGCCUUGGCGGUCAGAGGCGAUGAAGGACGUGGCAGCCUGCGAAAAGUAUCGGGGAGCUGGCAACAAGCUUUGAUCCGGUAAUGUCCGAAUGGGGAAACCCACCCGCUUGCGGGUAUCCUGCAGUGAAUACAUAGCUGCUGGAAGCGAACCUGGUGAACUGAAAUAUCUAAGUAACCAGAGGAAAAGAAAUCAACCGAGAUUCCGUAAGUAGCGACGAGCGAACGCGGACUAGCCCUUAAGCUGAUUUGGUUCUAGGAAAAUGCUCUGGAAAGAGCAGCCAUAGAAGGUGAUAGCCCUGUAUCUGAAAGGGCCAUUUCAGUGAAGACGAGUAGGGCGGGGCACGUGAAACCCUGUCUGAACAUGGGGGGACCAUCCUCCAAGGCUAAAUACUACUGACCGACCGAUAGUGAACCAGUACCGUGAGGGAAAGGCGAAAAGAACCCCGGAGAGGGGAGUGAAAUAGAACCUGAAACCGUGUGCGUACAAGCAGUAGGAGCUCCGCAAGGAGUGACUGCGUACCUUUUGUAUAAUGGGUCAGCGACUUACUGUUCGUGGCAAGCUUAACCGUAUAGGGGAGGCGAAGGGAAACCGAGUCUGAUAAGGGCGCAUAGUCGCGGGCAGUAGACCCGAAACCGGGUGAUCUAGUCAUGCCCAGGGUGAAGGUGCGGUAACACGCACUGGAGGCCCGAACCCACUCCCGUUGCAAAGGUAGGGGAUGAGGUGUGAUUAGGAGUGAAAAGCUAAUCGAACCCGGAGAUAGCUGGUUCUCCUCGAAAGCUAUUUAGGUAGCGCCUCAUAUGUAUCCUCUCGGGGGUAGAGCACUGUUAUGGCUAGGGGGUCAUCGCGACUUACCAAACCAUUGCAAACUCCGAAUACCGAGACGGACUGUAUGGGAGACACACGGCGGGUGCUAACGUCCGUCGUGAAAAGGGAAACAACCCAGACCCACAGCUAAGGUCCCAAAUUCACUGCUAAGUGGAAAACCAUGUGGAAAGGCACAGACAGCCAGGAGGUUGGCUUAGAAGCAGCCACCCUUUAAAGAAAGCGUAAUAGCUCACUGGUCGAGUCGGUCUGCGGGGAAGAUUUAACGGGGCUAAGCAGUGAACCGAAGCUUGGGGUGCAUAACUUUGUUAUGCGCGGUAGAGGAGCGUUCCGUAAGCCGUUGAAGGUGGAUUGAGAAGUCUGCUGGAGGUAUCGGAAGUGCGAAUGCUGACAUGAGUAACGAUAAUGCGGGUGAAAAACCCGCACGCCGAAAGCCCAAGGUUUCCUUGCGCAACGUUAAUCGGCGCAGGGUGAGUCGGCCCCUAAGGCGAGGACGAAAGUCGUAGUCGAUGGGAAGCAGGUUAAUAUUCCUGCACCUCGCGUAAGUGCGAUGGAGGGACGGAGAAGGUUAGGUGUACCAGGCGUUGGUUGUCCUGGGGAAAGGCGGUAGGUUUGGAUCUUUGGCAAAUCCGGGAUCCUUUAAGACCGAGCACCGAGACGAGCCUUUAUGGCGAAGUCACUGAUACCACGCUUCCAGGAAAAGCUCCUAAGCUUCAGCUUACGCAGACCGUACCGUAAACCGACACAGGUGGGUAGGAUGAGAAUUCUCAGGCGCUUGAGAGAACUCGGGUGAAGGAACUAGGCAACAUGGCACCGUAACUUCGGGAGAAGGUGCACCCUUUUUGGUGGCUCGUGCGAGCUAUAGCUGAAGAGGGUCGCAGUAACCAGGCCGCUGCGACUGUUUAUCAAAAACACAGCACUCUGCAAACACGAAAGUGGACGUAUAGGGUGUGACGCCUGCCCGGUGCUGGAAGGUUAAUUGAUGGGGUCAGCCGCAAGGCGAAGCUCUUGAUCGAAGCCCCAGUAAACGGCGGCCGUAACUAUAACGGUCCUAAGGUAGCGAAAUUCCUUGUCGGGUAAGUUCCGACCUGCACGAAUGGCGUAACGACAGCGGCGCUGUCUCCACCCGAGACUCAGUGAAAUUGAAAUCGCUGUGAAGAUGCAGCGUUCCCGUGGCAAGACGGAAAGACCCCGUGAACCUUUACUAUAGCUUUACACUGAACGUUGAGUUCGUCUGUGUAGGAUAGGUGGGAGGCUAUGAAACUGUGGCGCUAGCUGCAGCGGAGCCAUCCUUGAAAUACCACCCUGUCGUGCUUGACGUUCUAACCUGGGCCCAUUAUCUGGGUCGGGGACCGUGUAUGGUGGGUAGUUUGACUGGGGCGGUCUCCUCCUAAAGAGUAACGGAGGAGCUCGAAGGUACGCUCAGCGCGGUCGGACAUCGCGCACUGUGUGCAAAGGCAUAAGCGUGCUUGACUGCAAGAUCGACGGAUCAAGCAGGUAGGAAACUAGGACUUAGUGAUCCGGUGGUUCUGUAUGGAAGGGCCAUCGCUCAACGGAUAAAAGGUACUCCGGGGAUAACAGGCUGAUACCGCCCAAGAGUUCAUAUCGACGGCGGUGUUUGGCACCUCGAUGUCGGCUCAUCACAUCCUGGGGCUGUAGUCGGUCCCAAGGGUAUGGCUGUUCGCCAUUUAAAGUGGUACGCGAGCUGGGUUCAGAACGUCGUGAGACAGUUCGGUCCCUAUCUGCCAUGGGCGUUGGAGAUUUGAGAGGGGCUGCUCCUAGUACGAGAGGACCGGAGUGGACGAACCUCUGGUGUUCCGGUUGUCACGCCAGUGGCAUUGCCGGGUAGCUAUGUUCGGAAGCGAUAACCGCUGAAAGCAUCUAAGCGGGAAGCGCGCCUCAAGAUGAGAUCUCCCGGGGCACAAGCCCCCUGAAGGAACCAUGUAGACUACGUGGUUGAUAGGUCAGGUGUGUAAGUACAGCAAUGUAUUGAGCUAACUGAUACUAAUGAUCCGUGCGGCUUGACCAUAUAACCU